This 2195-nucleotide unclassified non-coding RNA is filed under the name Hevea brasiliensis (rubber tree). Lineage: Eukaryota; Viridiplantae; Streptophyta; Magnoliopsida; Malpighiales; Euphorbiaceae. The record is from RNAcentral.
AUCCGUGGAAUUAGUCGAGGUGCGCACAUGUUGUUCCGGACACCACGCUAAUAAAAAAUUAUUCAUCUAUUGAAAAAUCUCUUCCUGUCCACAGAAUCUUACUACUGAAGAAACAUUGAACUCUAAAACUGGUCUGGGAAGUAGAGGUGAACAUAUAAGAGUUUAGGUACACAUACCAUAGUCACUGUGUGAGAAGAUCUUCAGACAAGUUUUACUAGACAGUUCCCAAAGCCGCACUGUUUUGUCCAUUGAUGAUGAGAGCAAUUGCUGAGACUUGGACCACGAGAGGUCAAGCACAUCAUCCAAAUGUCCCUCAAAUGAACAGAUGGGCUUUUCUGAAAGAGCAAAAACUGUCUCAGGCACCAAAAUAUGGUCAAAGCACAUUGAUUUUCGACUAACAGAUGACCUCCCUCUCCGUUUCUUCUCCUCCAAGUGGACAUCAAAAUUUGGUGACAUAGUUGUUGGCUCGGGAGAAGCAUUUGCCGAUAUCAAUAGGUUCAAAUUCCCAUCUUCUGGUUUAUCCAGCAAUAGAUCACCCUUUCUCUCUGAUGAUGUAACCUCCCUAACAUGUAUGAUGCGAUCCUCACCGGCACUAGCAAGAUAUUUUCCAUCCAAACUAAAUUGUAUGGUCCAAAUAGACCCGGUGUGUGCCUGUAUCUCUUGGCUCUUAUAAAGAGCUGUAAGUUCUUUGCUGGACUUCCCAUACUGCCUCACCCUAACUCUUUCAGGUCCAUGAGGGGAAGCAUCCUGACUAUCAUCUGUGGCAGAGCUUGACCGUCGACCACCCUUUUCAGAAGAUGUAUCCCUCUCAUCACUACUCCGACGUUCCUUAUGACCUGCCACCGAGCUAGCCACAUUUCUAAUGCUCUUCAACCAGCUACCCCUCUUUUUAUUCUUAGGACCAGUCCCACCAAUCCCAUGCGUAUUACAAUCCAAAUUAUUAUUAUUCCCAUCUUCCACAUUCUGUCUUCUCAUCAAUUCCUGCACUAUUGGUGAAGUUCCAACACACAUAUCAAAUUCUUCAAUAGUCAACUGCUUUCCUGUACUGACUUCCUUAAGUUUGUUCCACAUCCCGUCCUCCCUCACUUCAUUAACCACAAAUUCCUUUCCAUUAUCAAGAUUCUUUAUCGUGCACACACUCUCCUCAAUUUCAACAUCUCUAUUUGAUUCCAAAUCAUCCUCAAGCUCACCAUUUUCCACUAUCGGUAACAAAUUACAGCUCUCAUUGUCCCUGGAAUCGGUUCUAAUCGUCAAUACAGAUCCAUUGCCCUCAUGUAAUUGAUCAUCACCGCGACAUUGACCUGAGUUUCCAUCAUUAUUUACAACUAUACAUUCACCACCAUUGGCUACACUGACAGAUACUGAUGACGAGGAAAUAGAAUUGACACAAAGAAUAUCACUACUUUUAUGAACUGAAGAACUAUUGCAAUUGGAAUCGCCAUUCAAUUUUGAUGGAAUAUUCUUAGAAACACUACACUUAACACUACUAGCUUGGGAACUACUACAAUUAGGUAUACCUUCAGCACAAACAGCUUGACACUCCAAAUGAACUGAUGAAACCGAUCUGCCAGCACCACGACUGAGACCCAUUUGACGAAAAAGCCGGAGUCGACGUUCUUCAAUAGAGGAAGGUUCAGAGAUCCACACGUCAUAGUUAUUCAAAACUCCCAUUGCAUAAUUGGGGAGACCCCAAUUUGAAAUACAAUCUCUAUCUUCUUCUCCUUCGUCUUCAGAAGGCGAAGAAGAUGAGGAACAAGAAGUGUUUGCAGAAGAAAGCAAACGAUCAAGAGAAUCGUGAAAGCACUCGUUCUCGUCUUCUCCUUCUCUUGCUUUGCUCAUUCUUCUCCUCCAAAUGGAGGCAUUCCCAUGAAAAUGCCACCAAAAUCACCUCCCCCUACAAAAACACUAAGAUCCACCUCACAACUCAGCUCAAUGUAGCUUUAAACGUUCAAAUCUUCAACACCCAUUUCAUCAAAUUGACUAAAACCGAUCAGUGAAGUCUAAAAAACGAGUUUGUGGGUGUGUGGGAAAAUUCCCCCAAAUCACCUCAACCCCCGCGAAGAAUACUGAGAUCCAGCUCAAAACUCAGUUCAACAGUUACUUUAAUGGCCAAAUCGUGCACACCCACUUCGUCAAAUGGACUAAUAUAUAUCUCUGUGUGACUGAAAGUGACCAAUACAGAGUCAAAAACGAAA